AUAACGACUCUCGGCAACGGAUAUCUCGGCUCUCGCAUCGAUGAAGAACGUAGCGAACUGCGAUACUUGGUGUGAAUUGCAGAAUCCCGUGAACCAUCGAGUCUUUGAACGCAAGUUGCGCCCGAAACCUUUGGUCGAGGGCACGUUAGCCUGGGUGUCACA
This 162-nucleotide ribosomal RNA is filed under the name Eucalyptus fulgens. Its description in RNAcentral is "5.8S ribosomal RNA". It matches the Rfam family "5.8S ribosomal RNA". Rfam says of the family: 5.8S ribosomal RNA (5.8S rRNA) is a component of the large subunit of the eukaryotic ribosome. It is transcribed by RNA polymerase I as part of the 45S precursor that also contains 18S and 28S rRNA. Functionally, it is thought that 5.8S rRNA may be involved in ribosome translocation. Lineage: Eukaryota; Viridiplantae; Streptophyta; Magnoliopsida; Myrtales; Myrtaceae. The record is from RNAcentral.